Oryctolagus cuniculus (rabbit) is the source of this 3115-nucleotide non-coding RNA. The record is from RefSeq and is a predicted model, not a curated record. Lineage: Eukaryota; Metazoa; Chordata; Mammalia; Lagomorpha; Leporidae.
AAACAAAAACUAAUUUAAAUAGACUUUCUUUUUCUUGGAUCGGGGCUUUCAAUCAACAGUCAAAACGUUACCAUCCUUAAGUAACAUUAGGAGAAGAUUCCAUUCUUUUGGAGCUCCCUGCACAGAUCUUGGACAGGUCUUAGUGACCAGUUCUGGGGUGACAGAGAGGUCCCAGUUAAGUUCCUGUUGGGCCAGAAUAGUUGAAAACAUGAUUAAUAAUCAAAGUGAAACUAGACUUGUGAUAUAAGGAAACAAAUCGAGAGACUACCAAGGAGGGAAGAAACUACUGGAAUGCACUGAGAGAGUGAAAGUGAGCAGAUUGUAUCUCCGUGGGAAAAAUGACAAAGCUAUACUUCAGGAAAAACAGCCUGGCUGAAACAACAGUUGCCUUCUGAGUUGUGCUGGAAAAGCCGAAUUCCAACAUAGUUGCUAGAUGAAGCUGUGCAAUCCCAGUCUCCUCUUCUUGACAAUGGAAUCCGGCUUUGGAACCACCCCGAAGAAGUGAGCUGGACACUAAAUGGAGCUAGAGACUGAGUGCUGAGAUCAGCAUGGCUACAGGAGGCUGCAAGUGUGGGGACUUGGAGAAAGGCCAAGGAUGUGUGAAUAGAAAGCAUUGGAAUUGAUUUUAAAAAUCCUACUAGCUGGAAUCCUGAUGCAAACCUUUUAGACUGGAAAGGUGAAGCCCAGACUGUAUGCAACUGCAAAACUGUAAGAUUCCCCUAUACCCAGAAUUGUGAUGCAAUGCUUUUGGGUCACACCCAGAUGUGUUGUUGUUGUUGUUGUUAAUAUCUCUAUUCCAAAUGCAGUCGGGAUUGAGAAGCACUCCUAGAUCACAGCUGUUGGGACUGGAAAUGCCACUGCGUAAUUUUGCAGGUGAUGGAAGAGAGGGGAAAUAUCUCUGGAGCCGUGCUUGAGACGACUAGGAAUUUUAUGAACCUAUGAAUCACAUGAUCCUUUGAUAUCUAUUUAUAUACAUAAACUGUAAUAUAUAUAAAUAUUUGUUUUUAUAUAUAUACACACAUCCUUGGAUGCAUAUUUAUACCCUCUAUUUACAUAUAAACAAAUUUAUUAUUUCAAUUUGGUUUUAAAUAAUUUGUUUAGAGGGCAGGUGUUUGCUCUGUGGUUAAGACACCGCUUGGGGUGCCUGCAUCCUGUAUCAUUGUCCGGGUGGGAGUCCUGGCACUGCUUUCAGUUCCAGAUUCCUGACAACACACACAUUUGGGAGGCAGCAGAUGACAGUUCAAGUACUUGGGUCCCUGCCACCCAAGUGUGAGACCUAGAUUGAGUUCUGGCCUCUUGGUUUCAGCCUGGUCAAACCCUGUUUGUUGCAGGAUUAUGGAGAAUGAACAAGCAGAUGAGAGCCCACUAUCUGUAUGUCUAUCUCUGUAUCUCUGUCUUUCAAAUUAAUAAUAAUAAUUAAAAAAACCAAGAUAAUCUGUUUAAAACAAUAUGCUUCAAAUCCUAAAAGUACUCUUUCAGGUAUGCAAGCACCUUAAAUCAAAAAUAUUUACACAUGUCCACAAGGCGGCGCUAAUGACCUGCGAAUGUAAGUGGUGUAAUUCAGAAUAAAAAUUAAAUUGACAAUCAAAUAUUUGUACAUGUUGCAAUAAUUUGCUUCAGCAAUUCUUCUCCAGAAACAAAAGGUUAUACUUUAUAAUGACAGAAAUAUAGAUUGCUUUCUAGGCCUUAAAAAUAAUUUCUGUGUGCCCACAAUACAGUUAGGAGUUCUCUGGAAAAUAUUUUCUUGCGGAUAUGUUACUUAAAAUUUCUAAUUCAAGUGCUUGAAUGUUGCCAUAAACUGAUCAUUUAAACAUAUCAUAAGUUGUGUAGAUAUAAUUUUUUCAAUGUCUAAUAUAAAAAUAAUUUUCAAUGCCUAAUUUAUUUUCUAUAAAAAAUUAGUUUCACCAGAUCAAAAAGUAAUUUAUUUUUCCUGUGACUAUGAAUUACUCAAAAUAGAUUUUAUUCAUUUUUUUCCUGAAUUUCUGAAACUCAAAACAUGCUCAGAGUUAAAAAAUAUUUAAAAUUUUUUGGUGGCUUUCCAAAUUUGAGGAGAUAAAACACUUUACUUGUUUUGGAUUUUAAAUAGUAAAUCAUUUUUGAAGUUUUAACUUUAUAGUGAAAGAGCAUUCUAAAAUACAAACACACAAAGUAUCUGGAAUUUUCUCCAAAUAAACAUUAUGAGUAUCUUUUGCUUAUUUAUUAUUUAUUUAUUUGAUUGGUAGAGAGACAGAGAAUCUGAGACUAAGAGAGAUCUUCAAUCUGCUAGUUCACUCCUCAGUUGUCUGCCACAGCUGGGGCUGGGCCAAGCCAAGGCGGGAACAAGGAGCUGCAUCCAGGCCUCUCACAUGGGUAGCAGGGACCCAAGUACCUGAACCAUCACCUGUUGCCUCCCAGGGUGUGCAUUAGCAGGAAGCUGGAAUGGAGAUCAGAGAUAGUGAAGAAAGGAUAAUUCCUAUGCAGGAAGCGCGAGAUUUAGUGAGUUUAAAGGCAUUGCUGCAGCGCAAAUUAAGGGACUUGUUACUUCGCUCUUCCUACUCCCAGUGCCUCCUUCUUAUCUAACAGGAUGAAAGGUUUUCCAAUAUGGAAAGUGUCAAAGCAUCUUACCUUUUGAGCAACAGACUUUUAAAAUCAAUAUAUUUAUUUAUUUGAAAGGUGAAGUUACAGAGAGAGAAGGAGAGACUGAGAGAGGUCUUUUAUCCCCUGGUGUACUCCCCAAUGGCCACAAUGACCGGGAAUAGGCCAGGCUGAAUCCAGAAGCCAGGAGCCUCCUCUGGGUCUCCCACAUAGGUGCAUGGGCCCAGGAACUUGGGCCAUCUUCCGCUGCUUUCCCAGACCAUUGCAGAGAGCUAAAUCAGAAGUGAAGCAGCCAGGACUUGAACCAGCUGCCCGUACGGAUGCUGGUGCUGCAGGCCAUGGCUUAACCCAUUACGCCACGGCAUUGGCCUGAGCAACAGAAUUUCUACCCAACAGGCAAGUUUGUAAAGCAAGCAUGAGUUUGGUUUCUAAUGCGGGUCCUUCUGGACAUUUGGCUCUUUGGUAAAAGAUGAUUGUGAGAGGAGCAGAGCAAAGCCUUUGGGCCAAACCACGAAGCCUUGAUUUUUUAGUAUCCCAAGAA